Molecule: ribosomal RNA, 482 nt
Filed under: uncultured bacterium
Lineage: Bacteria
Description: partial 16S ribosomal RNA
Rfam family: Bacterial small subunit ribosomal RNA
Source: RNAcentral
AUUGAACGCUAGCGGCAUGCCUUACACAUGCAAGUCGAACGGUAACGGGCCUUCGGGUGCCGACGAGUGGCGAACGGGUGAGUAAUACAUCGGAACGUGCCCGAUCGUGGGGGAUAACGAGGCGAAAGCUUUGCUAAUACCGCAUACGAUCUACGGAUGAAAGCAGGGGACCGCAAGGCCUUGCGCGGACGGAGCGGCCGAUGGCAGAUUAGGUAGUUGGUGGGAUAAAAGCUUACCAAGCCGACGAUCUGUAGCUGGUCUGAGAGGAUGAUCAGCCACACUGGGACUGAGACACGGCCCAGACUCCUACGGGAGGCAGCAGUGGGGAAUUUUGGACAAUGGGCGCAAGCCUGAUCCAGCCAUGCCGCGUGCAGGAUGAAGGCCUUCGGGUUGUAAACUGCUUUUGUACGGAACGAAAAGCCUUCUUUUAAUACAGGAGGGUCAUGACGGUACCGUAAGAAUAAGCACCGGCUAACUACGUG